Molecule: unclassified non-coding RNA, 2040 nt
Filed under: Homarus americanus (American lobster)
Lineage: Eukaryota; Metazoa; Arthropoda; Malacostraca; Decapoda; Nephropidae
Description: juvenile hormone epoxide hydrolase 1-like, transcript variant X1
Source: RNAcentral
AAGGUCAUCUAGUCUCUUACUGAUAAAUGAAGAAUAUAGAAGCUGCCUCCUCAGUCACCCGGUAACAGUUAACACACAGUCUGACAGUCAUUCCUGCCUCCUCAGUCACCUGGCAACAGUUAACACACAGUCUGACAGUCAUUCCUGCCUCCUCAGUCACCUGGCAACAGUUAACACACAGUCUGAGUCAUUCCUGCCUCCUCAGUCACCUGGCAACAGUUAACACAGUCUGACAGUCAUUCCUGCCUCCUCAGUCACCUGGCAACAGUUAAAACACAGUCUGACAGUCAUUCCUGCCUCCUCAGUCACCCAGCAACAGUUAAAACAGUCUGACAGUCACUAAGAUGGGGUGGCUGAACAAGGUGGUGGUGGGGCUGAUGGUGGUUCUUAUCGCCUAUAAACUCUCCAAGAUGAACAAGGAGCCUCCACUACCAACCCUUGACCCCAACCCUUGGUGGGCACCUGGAGAACCACAACAGGAAGACGUCUCCAUCAAUCGCUUCAACAUCAAUUUCUCCAAAAAGGAGGUAGAUGACCUAAAGGCCCGUCUGGCGCUGCCCUUGAGACUCACCCCAGGCCUGGAAGACGCCAACUUCACCUAUGGCAUCAACGCCGACACCUUACACACAAUUGUACAAUACUGGAGAAAGAAAUAUGACUGGAACAAGAGGCAGACUAGACUUAACACCUAUCCUCACUUCAAGACUCGCAUCGAGGGUCUAGACAUUCACUUCAUGCGAGCAAGUGCCAAGGUGGGGAGUGCCAAGAAUGUGAAGGUAGUGCCACUGUUGUUGAUCCACGGGUGGCCGGGCUCCUUCGUGGAGUUCUAUGACAUCUUGCCGCUGCUCACCAACCCACAGGAGGGCAGCAGUGUUGUGUUUGAGGUUAUCUGUCCCUCCAUCCCUGGCUAUGGCUUCUCUCAGGGCUCAUCCAAACAAGGUUUUGGUCAGCUUGAAGUAGCCCAGGUGUUCCUUAAGCUGAUGAAGAGGCUGGGAUACAAGCAGUUCUACCUACAGGGUGGAGACUGGGGUUCACUCAUAGCUUCCAACAUGGCCACUAUGUACCCUAACAAUACCUUGGGCGUCCAUUUGAAUAUGAUAUCAGUACGCACUAAUGCCGUCUCCUUGAAGAUGAUACUGGGGGCCUACCUGCCAGCUGGGGUGUUGGUGGCAAAGGAAGACCAGGAUAAAAUAUACCCCUUGUCCAACCUCUAUUCUAUGAUCCUCCGUGAGUCUGGCUACGCGCACCUCCAGGCCACCAAACCCGACACUAUUGGAGCGGCACUUAACCAGAGCCCAGUAAGCCUGGCAGCGUACAUCUUGGAGAAGUUCAGCAGCUGGACCCACAGGGACAACCUUCACCAGCCUGAUGGUAGCCUCUUGCAGCAACACUUUCCUAUAUCUCUUGAUGCUAUGUUGGACAAUAUCUGCAUCUACUGGUUCACCAGUUCCAUCACCACCAGCGUCCGGUUUUACUCUGAGGUGAUGAACAAGAACAUGUUCACAAGGUCUUUAGACAAUAAUCCAUGCCGGGUACCUGCAGGUUUUGCCGUCUUCCCACAGGAGAUAAUGACCCUUCCCAAGAACCUCGUAUCUCACAAGUUCUAUAACAUUGUAUCAUUCAACGACCAGCCGGCAGGAGGCCACUUUGCCGCCAUGGAGCGACCAGCACUCCUGGCGGCAGACCUUCACCAGUUUGUCAACACCGUAGAGAAGGGAACUUGAACUCUUAUCACCACCACUAACUCUUCUCUUAUCAUCUUAAAACCUUUCACUACCCCCAGAGAUGAGUUAUCCUGAGAAUCGAGGAAUGGUGGUGACUUGCUGGGAACAUUAUCAGUGUAGUUUCAAAGGUUAAAUAAAUACAGUACUGUAAGUUAAGAGAAAAACCAACCUUUUUAAAUGGCCAGUACAGUGAGGUGAUUAUUAGCUAGAUGAUAAAUAAGUAAAUAUAAAUUGACACUUAUGUUAAAAAUGAUGUGAUGAACAAUGUAACUCAAGUGUAUAAUGACUAGGAAGAGAAAAUAAAUUAUAUACUGUC